GACGAUGUAGCUCAGAUGGUAAGAGCGCCCGCCUCAUAAGUGGGAGGUCGAAGGUUCAAUCCCUUCCAUCGUCACCA
This 77-nucleotide transfer RNA is filed under the name Salipiger sp. PrR003. Its description in RNAcentral is "Yangia sp. PrR003 tRNA-Met". It matches the Rfam family "tRNA". From Rfam's summary of the family: Transfer RNA (tRNA) molecules are approximately 80 nucleotides in length. Their secondary structure includes four short double-helical elements and three loops (D, anti-codon, and T loops). The record is from RNAcentral. Lineage: Bacteria; Pseudomonadati; Pseudomonadota; Alphaproteobacteria; Rhodobacterales; Roseobacteraceae.